This 21-nucleotide non-coding RNA is filed under the name Caenorhabditis elegans. Lineage: Eukaryota; Metazoa; Nematoda; Chromadorea; Rhabditida; Rhabditidae. The record is from RNAcentral.
UACGAUAAUAAAACUCACCAA